AUGGCUUCCAACGUGCCAGUCAAGAAAAGCAGAUUGGGUAAAAACAAGAAGAAAGCGUGGAAGGCUAUCGACAUAACAGAAGUAGAGGAUGUUUUGGAAGAUGAACGAAUGCAAGAAAGAACAGGGGGUCUGGUUGCUGAGAAGUCAGAUGACCAGUUGUUUAUGGUUGACAAAGAUGCCUUUGAUCCAAAAGAAAACGACUCAAAAUAUGAAAAGAGAAAGAGAAAAAGAGCACUAAAAUGUCACUCCAACCUUGAACCAGAUCCCAACAUUAAGCCUAUAUCUAUUUCACACAAUGUAAGGAAAGUACAGCCAGAGGUAGAGAGACUCAGCAGAAGGAUAAAAAGUGGUAAAAAAACAUUAACAGAGAUAAAAGCAGAAAAGCAGCGUAAAGUUAGAAACAAACAACGGGCAGAGGCUCGGAGAAACAAGAAUAAGACACCUGUAGCAGACUUUGACCUAUGGGAGACAGAUGUAAACGCUGAUAUUAGUAAGGAAGAUCCUCAUUUUUGUGUGGUGACAAAGAAGAGAAGAAUUAAUGUGCCGAGACAUUACCAUCAAAAGCCAUCUGAAAUGUCAAGUAUACAGGUUCCAGACCCAGGAGCAUCCUACAAUCCCUCAUACGAUGAUCACCAGAACUUGCUAGCCAAGGCCCAUGAUGUGGAGGUUAAGCGAGAGAAGAAAGAGAAGAAAUUAUACAAUGCUGUUGAGGCUAAAUUCAGGACCAUAUCAGCUGCAGAGUUAGAGGAAAAUCUGAGGGCAGAAAUGACAUCAGGACUUAAUGAGGAAGAGGACGAGAAGGUAGAGUUUACAGAGGAGGAGCUGGAAAAACUGUCUGUAGCACCACCUGUCCGCAGAGAGGACAAGAAAACAAAGGUCCAGAGAAACAAGGAGAAAAAUGUCAAAGAAAAGGAACACAGUAAAUUAAAAGAUAAAACAGCCAAAUCAAGAGAAAAAGAUAUAUUUAGGUUGAAGACAAUUAAAGCUGAAAUAAAGACCAGGGAAAGGGAUCUGUCAGAGAGAGCGAGACAGAAGAAAGAGAAAUAUAACAAGUCAGGCAUGAACACACGGAAAUUGGGGAAGAUGAAAUUUGAAGAAGCAAAUAUUGAAAUUAAGCUAAGUGACGAGUUGCCUGGGGCUCUAAGACUUUUAAAGCCAGAAGGACAUUUAAUGGUAGACAGAUUCAAGAGUUUACAGAAAAGAAAUGUGAUAGAGCCAAGACUAGAAGCCAGCAAGAAGCAGAAAUAUAAACCGAAGACAUUCAUGAAAAAAGGAUACGAAACUGAGGAGGAGUAAGAUUCCUGAAAAUUUUCCUAAUCAUACUAUUGUAAAAAUGGAUAAAAAAUAAGAUGCAGAAGAGAUGAAACGAAAAAAAUUAUAGUAACAAAAUAAAAGAAAAAUAGAAAGAAA
Molecule: RNA transcript, 1410 nt
Organism: Ylistrum balloti
Lineage: Eukaryota; Metazoa; Mollusca; Bivalvia; Pectinida; Pectinidae
Gene name: ribosome biogenesis protein NOP53-like
Exons: 14
Source: RefSeq, a predicted model, not a curated record